This 429-nucleotide ribosomal RNA is filed under the name uncultured bacterium. RNAcentral describes it as "bacterial SSU rRNA". It matches the Rfam family "Bacterial small subunit ribosomal RNA", at positions 355 to 776 of the family's 1533-position model. The record is from RNAcentral.
UGGGGAAUAUUGGACAAUGGGCGAAAGCCUGAUCCAGCAAUGCCGUGUGUGUGAAGAAGGCCUUAGGGUUGUAAAGCACUUUUAGUGGGGAAGAAAUAUUUAAGAUUAAUAACCUUGAGUCUUGACGUUACCCACAGAAAAAGCACUGGCUAACUCUGUGCCAGCAGCCGCGGUAAUACAGAGAGUGCGAGCGUUAAUCGGAAUUACUGGGCGUAAAGCGUACGUAGGUUGAGCUUUAAGUCAGAUGUGAAAUCCCCGGGCUUAACCUGGGAAUUGCAUUUGAUACUGGGGCUCUAGAGUAUAGUAGAGGGAAGUGGAAUUUCCGGUGUAGCGGUGAAGUGCGUAGAUAUCGGAAGGAACAUCAGUGGCGAAAGCGGCUUCCUGGACUAAUACUGACACUUAGGUACGAAAGCGUGGGGAGCAAACAGG